This 439-nucleotide ribosomal RNA is filed under the name uncultured bacterium. Its description in RNAcentral is "bacterial SSU rRNA". It matches the Rfam family "Bacterial small subunit ribosomal RNA", at positions 343 to 796 of the family's 1533-position model. The record is from RNAcentral.
UGGAGGCAGCAGUGAGGAAUCUUCCGCAAUGGACGAAAGUCUGACGGAGCAACGCCGCGUGAGGGAUGAAGGCCUUCGGGUUGUAAACCUCUGUCUUCAGGGAAGAAAAAAAUGACGGUACCUGAGGAGGAAGCCCCGGCUAACUACGUGCCAGCAGCCGCGGUAAUACGUAGGGGGCGAGCGUUAUCCGGAAUCAUUGGGCGUAAAGGGCGCGUAGGCGGAUAUUUAAGUCAGGUGUGAAAACCCAGGGCUCAACCCUGGAUCUGCAUCUGAUACUGGAUAUCUUGAGGACAGGAGAGGAAAGUGGAAUUCCUAGUGUAGCGGUGAAAUGCGUAGAUAUUAGGAGGAACACCAGUGGCGAAGGCGACUUUCUGGACUGUAACUGACGCUGAGGCGCGAAAGCGUGGGGAGCAAACAGGAUUAGAUACCCCGGUAGUCC